CGAGCCCCAGGCGCAGGAACCUAACCCCCAGCAGCAGCAGCGGAAAUCAGUUCUCCCGCGGCGAGCCUUUCUGCAGGAAGGGAGACUGUCAGCCCUCGUCCAACGGUGAGGGCUCGGGCCUACGAGACUGCCCCUACUCCGGACGCCAGUCACCUGCAGCUUCUGCCUGACUUGGCUGCACAUCGGGGGACCCCUAAGCCAUCGGCUGGAAGAGCUGCCAGAGCUCAGGGAAGCGCUCACCUCCAUCGACCCUGUGUUAUAUGGAAAAGGACACAGAUGAACAGCCAGAUGCGGCACACAGGGACAGACGAGGGGAGACCCCGCCUGCCCAGCGGCCGCGUCACAGCCCGCUGCUGCACCCAAGGACAGUCAGCCGGGCCGGGAAGACUCCACCGACUCCAGCCGCCAGGACCCGGCAGGGACGCCUUUCCAUGUACCUCUGGGUGGCCCGCUCAGUUCCGACUGUAACCCACCCCGGUCGUUUCCUAGUCCUGGGCUCACCGAGUACAGAGAGCGGCAGAGCAUGACCCCGAUCAGCCUCCUGACCCCUUGGGCCCACCCUGGAAGCAGGCAUGUGGCCUCGGCGUUCAGAGCCUGGGGCCCCAUCAGCGUCCCAUCCUCCCAGGUUCAGGGGGCCGGAGGAGGGGGCGUCCCUCAUCAGCUGCCUCUUUUCUGAGGCUGGGGCCGUGGGUCACAAGUGCAGGCAAACAACAGCGUCCGUUCCUGGAGAUGCAGGUGCCCAGCCCUGCUCAGACCUGGCCCGCCGGCUGGGUUUUCACACCCCUUCCUUGCUCUGCUCUGACUAUAAAAAUUACAGCCAUUCAUCCUACAUUAUUAAGAAAAUGUGGAAAAAAUGUUAGAGAACAAAAUUAAAAUUACCCAUAAUCACACCCAACAGAGAUGAUCA
Molecule: long non-coding RNA, 907 nt
Organism: Camelus dromedarius (Arabian camel)
Lineage: Eukaryota; Metazoa; Chordata; Mammalia; Artiodactyla; Camelidae
Exons: 3
Source: RefSeq, a predicted model, not a curated record